CGGACGGGUGAGUAAUGCCUGGGAAACUGCCCGAUGGAGGGGGAUAACUACUGGAAACGGUAGCUAAUACCGCAUAACGUCGCAAGACCAAAGAGGGGGACCUUCGGGCCUCUUGCCAUCGGAUGUGCCCAGAUGGGAUUAGCUAGUAGGUGGGGUAACGGCUCACCUAGGCGACGAUCCCUAGCUGGUCUGAGAGGAUGACCAGCCACACUGGAACUGAGACACGGUCCAG
Molecule: ribosomal RNA, 232 nt
Filed under: uncultured bacterium
Lineage: Bacteria
Description: partial 16S ribosomal RNA
Rfam family: Bacterial small subunit ribosomal RNA
Source: RNAcentral